AGUGAACGCUGGCGGUAGGCCUAACACAUGCAAGUCGAACGGCAGCACAGUAAGAGUUUGCUCUUACGGGUGGCGAGUGGCGGACGGGUGAGGAAUACAUCGGAAUCUACUUUUUCGUGGGGGAUAACGUAGGGAAACUUACGCUAAUACCGCAUACGACCUACGGGUGAAAGCAGGGGAUCUUCGGACCUUGCGCGAUUGAAUGAGCCGAUGUCGGAUUAGCUAGUUGGCGGGGUAAAGGCCCACCAAGGCGACGAUCCGUAGCUGGUCUGAGAGGAUGAUCAGCCACACUGGAACUGAGACACGGUCCAGACUCCUACGGGAGGCAGCAGUGGGGAAUAUUGGAUAAUGGGCGCAAGCCUGAUCCAGCCAUACCGCGUGGGUGAAGAAGGCCUUCGGGUUGUAAAGCCCUUUUGUUGGGAAAGAAAAGCAGCAGGUUAAUACCCCGCUGUUCUGACGGUACCCAAAGAAUAAGCACCGGCUAACUUCGUG
This 492-nucleotide ribosomal RNA is filed under the name uncultured bacterium. RNAcentral's name for it is "partial 16S ribosomal RNA". It matches the Rfam family "Bacterial small subunit ribosomal RNA", at positions 29 to 507 of the family's 1533-position model. The record is from RNAcentral.